UUUAUUAGUCUCACCUCUUUUGGUCAUAUAUUUCUCAUUUUAAAUGAUGUUCUAAAUGUUUGCUUUCAGAUUAAAGGUGGGCAGAUCACUGCUCACUUGAGUGUUCGGUGAAGCAUGGGGUAUAUGACUAAGAAGUGCAUCUGCAGAAUCUCUCUGAAGUCUAUGGAAAAUGAGGGGGAAAACCAACCAUAAGAGAUUUUGUUAAUUUAUCACAGCAAAUGCUUGAAAGAUAGCUGUUAUAUAUGUUUGGAAGUCCUUAGGCAUGCCUUGGAAAUCUGAAGGAUUCAUCAGGGAAAUGAAAAUUGCUGAUUUCUCUUGUCAAUCUUCUUUCUGGAAGAAGAGUCAAAGGAUCCUAGUCAUUGACUUAAAGAAUGGAAUGGCAGGAAACACAUCUGAGACUCUUCCAUCUUUCUCCAGUUUUAAAGUCUCACCAAAAGUUGCUGAAAAACAAGCACAAGUUAAAGGAGGAAGAUGGUACAUUUCUUCCUUGCCUUAUUUUUUGUGUGGUGUUUUUGUUUUACAGGUGUUCUUUUUUCUUUUACACCACAGUUAUUUCUGGUUAAGAACAAUAAAAUUACCACAUAACAUCCUGUUCCCAUAGACCCUCACAUGUCUACUGAGAAAGGAGUGUGCUUCAUCAUCUGAGUCAUUACAAGUGAGGGCCAUUGCAAUUAAUUUCAAUUUGACUGCCUUUUAAUAUUGCUUUCACUUAUAUGAAAUAGUUAUUGUGACUGUUGUUUGGGUUCUAUUUCAGUAACUAAACAUUUCUUUUGCUCAAGUUGCCUGAUUUACCUCAAUGCUCACCCACAUUUCUUCUAAGAGUUAUAUCUGUAUAUGAGUCAGACCCUAGCUUCAGGGUAGAGAUUUGCCACAUUCUCUUUGGACAGUAAAAGUUCAAAUGUCAAAAUGUAAGUGAUUCAACCCACAUUUCUAUAUUUCUCUGUUGGGGUUAUUUUGUUUGGAAGGAGAUUGGAAAUUUAUCUUUUCACUGUGGAAGGGAUAGCCCCAAGUUGUCUGCAUUUAUUCUGAGAUUUAAACUGCAAAGAUGAUGGACUGGGGGUUAGAUAAUGGACUUCAUUCAAAUGGAUCAAUAAGUGGUAUUUAUUUAGUGGGAAGAGAGGAUAGUUUAGGUAAAAUGCCUCCGUUAUUCACAGACAAUGUCUUAAUGACCCUUGGGGGAAGGAAAUUGUCCAAGGGGUCUCUUCAUAAUAAUCUUGAGAAGAUAUUUACAGAUGAAAACAAUAUGGGGAGCAUAAUGUAGUUAAGGCAACAUUAGACUGAGUUUCAGGAGAUCUGGAUUCUUAUCUCUUGUCUACCCUUAACUAGGUGUGUGUUAACUAGGUAUGUGUCCUUAAGGACAUCAUUGAAUUUUUCUAUGCUUCAGUUCCUGCAUCUCUCAAAUGAGAGAUUUGAUGAAUGCAGAGAGCUAGGCCACAACUUGGUGUCAUAGAGAGGACUGGAUUUGGGAUCUUGCAGAUAUGGAUUUGAAGCCUACCUAUGCAGUCUUGGACAAAUCUCUCAACCUUUCUGAGCCUGUUUCCUUAUCUAUAAAAAGAAGGGUUUGGAUUUGAUUACCUUUGAAGUCUCUUCUAGAUUUAAUAUUCUAUGAUUCCCACUCAAGGUCAUUUAAAGUAUCAUUGAAAUUUUAAAAGACUAGUAACUAUAUUGUAGUAACUGAACAAUAAUAGACUUCAUUUUUUUUCAAGGAAAGGUGUUGGAGUUAAUGGAUGCAAGGACAGCAAUGAAGAAAGGAGAUGGAAUAAUAAACUCAUUUCUAUAGCACA
This is a long non-coding RNA of Monodelphis domestica (gray short-tailed opossum), 1784 nucleotides long. Lineage: Eukaryota; Metazoa; Chordata; Mammalia; Didelphimorphia; Didelphidae. The record is from Ensembl.